This is a long non-coding RNA of Lycium ferocissimum, 1324 nucleotides long. RefSeq lists it as uncharacterized. Lineage: Eukaryota; Viridiplantae; Streptophyta; Magnoliopsida; Solanales; Solanaceae. The transcript has 3 exons. The record is from RefSeq and is a predicted model, not a curated record.
CAAAGAAGAUAUCACAUGAAUAUGUUAAUACACAUAUAACAUGAUUCAAGUUACAUAGAUGGAUUAUGCGUAUUUAAUUUUGUCAAACAUGGGGAUGAAUAUAUUCAGACAUCCACGCUUGCUCUUAUUUUAUGAGCUGAAGCUUGGUAUUAUAAAUGCCAUAUAAAAUAAUUAUAAUAUGGCCCCAACAAAGUUAAAUGUGAGAUUGAAUUGAGUAGAUAUUUAUCCAAGUAAGAGUGGGCUAAGAUGAGUAUUUAAUAUAGUGGUACAGUGAGGUGUUGGAUUCCAAGAGCUCCUUUCUCUCUGAUUGCUAUUGUCCCCUGCGUCAAUUGCCUUCCAAGCUAAGAGCUGCAUCACCAACUCUUGACCCAAUAUCUUGGCUACCUAUAGCAUAUAAAAUGGAAUAUACAGAAGCCAUCAACCGAAAGUUCACCCAAGAUUAUUUAUUCCACCAAGUUCGUGGACGCCAUUUUGGUAAAGUGUCGGGUCAAGCUCUUUACUUGAGCACUUCAAGAUUUCAAGAAACCCCUUCAAGAGCACCAAAAUCCUAAAAGAGGGAUUUUCAAGAUUUAAAUGUUUUGAGGUAAUUCCAGCUACUCAAACUAGUUACUUAUGAGUAGUUGAGAAGAUUUGUAUCAUUUGUUUCAAGUCGUAUUAAUUGGAAGGCGAAUUACGGAACCCCUAACUUAUGGCAUGAAUAGUGUUUAUUUUAAAUUGAGAAGAUGAUGAAUCACUAUCAUGGGUAUUUAAUAGUGAACUUUUAAGACCCCAUUGUUGGAUGGUUUGAGUUGAUUGAACAUGGUGCCACCUAAAUUGGAGAAAUACGGGACCUUGAGAAUUAUAUCCAAGUGUUAGACAAUUAAUUAAUUAAAUUAUCAUCAUUGUGAUACUUAGUUGAUAAAUAUGAAUUCGUUUAUGUAGAUUGAAAUCAUUUGGGUCGUUUGACCCGUUCUUUGACAUUUGGAGCUAACGAUUGGUAAUGUCAAAAAUACAUUGAGGUCUAGCAGGCGGUCAGGUGCAAGGUGGUCAGAGUACGGGCUAGGAUUUCCUACGGGUUCAUACUUUUGGUGAGUCCACAUUUGAGAUCGUGGGAUUCACACUGUCAUAUUUUCAUUUUUGUUUGGCGCGAGCUAGUUUCGCAACAUUAUUAUUUCAUUCAUACUUUCAUAGAGGCUCCGUAGAUGUACUUGUACUACUUUUGGAUUAGAGGUGUCUGUUUAGAUUUGCAAAUAACAUCAUCAUUUUAUGAUUUGGUUAAUGAGCAUGUUGAUUUAAUAUUAUUCACUUCGACUUAUUCACUCAAUAUUGAUAUUAAUUAAUUGAA